Molecule: transfer RNA, 72 nt
Filed under: Bos taurus (domestic cattle)
Lineage: Eukaryota; Metazoa; Chordata; Mammalia; Artiodactyla; Bovidae
Also listed under: 4 other names
Rfam family: tRNA
About the family: Transfer RNA (tRNA) molecules are approximately 80 nucleotides in length. Their secondary structure includes four short double-helical elements and three loops (D, anti-codon, and T loops).
Source: Rfam by way of RNAcentral
UUCCUAGCAGUCCAGUGGUUAGGACUCAGUGCUCUCACUGCUGGGGCCCAGGUUCAAUCCCUGGUUGGGAAA